ACUUAUUGUUCAGACUCAUUGUUUCAACAAUGAUAAAGAAACUUUGCAUUAAACCAAGAAAUUACAAGGUU
RNAcentral lists this small nucleolar RNA (71 nucleotides) under Tetranychus urticae (two-spotted spider mite). Its description in RNAcentral is "snoRNA tetur19g03363". Lineage: Eukaryota; Metazoa; Arthropoda; Arachnida; Trombidiformes; Tetranychidae. The record is from RNAcentral.